RNAcentral lists this long non-coding RNA (331 nucleotides) under Callithrix jacchus (white-tufted-ear marmoset). Its description in RNAcentral is "lncRNA (ENSCJAG00000072747.1)". Lineage: Eukaryota; Metazoa; Chordata; Mammalia; Primates; Cebidae. The record is from RNAcentral.
UGGGCAACCAAACGGGCACUUCCAAAUUAGCUCGAAGUAUCCAAGCCCAGAGAAGAGAGAAAACACACAUACACUGACAAAUACGCAGAUGCUAACUCGUCUUUCCUGAACUUGAAACAUUUGGGCUAGGUCUUCAUCCUCACCUGCACUGGAAUUACCUACUUAAAAAAACGAUUCACAAAGAAGCAUUUAUCUGCAUUGGGUCCUGUUACAAGUGUACAUACAUCUAGAAUACUUCCAUCUUUACAAUUUUUUAAAAAAGUACUUCAUCGUAUCUGAAGGUUCUCUGCAGAGAGUCACUUUCUGACUCGUUAGGAACUUGAUAACCAAA